This 501-nucleotide ribosomal RNA is filed under the name uncultured bacterium. RNAcentral's name for it is "bacterial SSU rRNA". It matches the Rfam family "Bacterial small subunit ribosomal RNA", at positions 28 to 517 of the family's 1533-position model. The record is from RNAcentral.
GAUGAACGCUAGCUACAGGCUUAACACAUGCAAGUCGAGGGGCAGCAGGGAUUUAGCUUGCUAAAUCCGCUGGCGACCGGCGCACGGGUGCGUAACGCGUAUCCAACUUUCCCGUUACUCAGGGAUAGCCUUCCGAAAGGGAGAUUAAUACCUGAUGGUGUUUGAAAUCCGCAUGUUCUUCAAACUAAAGAUUUAUCGGUAACGGAUAGGGAUGCGUGACAUUAGAUAGUAGGCGGGGUAACGGCCCACCUAGUCUACGAUGUCUAGGGGUUCUGAGAGGAAGGUCCCCCACACUGGAACUGAGACACGGUCCAGACUCCUACGGGAGGCAGCAGUGAGGAAUAUUGGUCAAUGGUCGGAAGACUGAACCAGCCAAGUAGCGUGAAAGGAUGAAGGUUCAUGGAUUGUAAACUUCUUUUAUACGGGAAUAAAGCCCACUACGUGUAGUGGUUUGUAUGUACCGUAUGAAUAAGCACCGGCUAAACUCCGUGCCAGCAGCCG